Molecule: transfer RNA, 61 nt
Filed under: Ictidomys tridecemlineatus (thirteen-lined ground squirrel)
Lineage: Eukaryota; Metazoa; Chordata; Mammalia; Rodentia; Sciuridae
Description: Spermophilus tridecemlineatus (thirteen-lined ground squirrel) tRNA
Rfam family: tRNA
About the family: Transfer RNA (tRNA) molecules are approximately 80 nucleotides in length. Their secondary structure includes four short double-helical elements and three loops (D, anti-codon, and T loops).
Source: Rfam by way of RNAcentral
UAUAGCUCAAUGGUAGAGCAUUUGUCUAGCAUGCACAAGGCUCUGGGUUCAAUCCCCAAUA